GAUGAAGAACGCAGCGAAAUGCGAUAAGUAGUGUGAAUUGCAGAAUUCAGUGAAUCAUCGAAUCUUUGAACGCACAUUGCGCCCUUUGGUAUUCCAAAGGGGCAUGCCUGUUCGAGCGUCAUUUGUACCCUCAAGCUUUGCUUGGUGUUGGGCGUCUUGUCUCUAGCUUUGCUGGAGACUCGCCUUAAAGUAAUUGGCAGCCGGCCUACUGGUUUCGGAGCGCAGCACAAGUCGCACUCUCUAUCAGCAAAGGUCUAGCAUCCAUUAAGCCUUUUUUUCAACUUUUGACCUCGGAUCAGGUAGGGAUACCCGCUGAACUUAAGCAUAUCAAUAAGCGGAGGA
This 342-nucleotide unclassified non-coding RNA is filed under the name soil metagenome. RNAcentral describes it as "partial contains 5.8S ribosomal RNA, internal transcribed spacer 2, and large subunit ribosomal RNA". The stretch from base 1 to 121 matches the Rfam family "5.8S ribosomal RNA", at positions 35 to 154 of the family's 154-position model. The record is from RNAcentral.